UAGGGAAUCUUCCGCAAUGGACGCAAGUCUGACGGAGCAACGCCGCGUGAGUGAAGAAGGUUUUCGGAUCGUAAAACUCUGUUGUAAGAGAAGAACAAAUUGUAGAGUAACUGCUACAGUCUUGACGGUAUCUUACCAGAAAGCCACGGCUAACUACGUGCCAGCAGCCGCGGUAAUACGUAGGUGGCAAGCGUUGUCCGGAUUUAUUGGGCGUAAAGGGGGCGCAGGCUGCUUCUUAAGUCUGAUGUGAAAGCCCACGGCUUAACCGUGGAAGUGCAUUGGAAACUGGGAAGCUUGAGUACAGAAGAGGAAAGAGGAACUCCAUGUGUAGCGGUGGAAUGCGUAGAUAUAUGGAAGAACACCAGUGGCGAAAGCGACUUUCUGGUCUGUCACUGACGCUGAGGCCCGAAAGCGUGGGUAGCAAACAGG
This 429-nucleotide ribosomal RNA is filed under the name Verrucomicrobiota bacterium. Its description in RNAcentral is "Verrucomicrobia bacterium partial 16S ribosomal RNA". It matches the Rfam family "Bacterial small subunit ribosomal RNA", at positions 355 to 776 of the family's 1533-position model. The record is from RNAcentral. Lineage: Bacteria; Pseudomonadati; Verrucomicrobiota.